CUACGGGGCGCAGCAGGCGCGAAACCUUUACAAUGCACGAAAGUGUGAUAAGGGAACCCCUAGUGCUCAAGUUCUGCUUGGGCUUUUGCCAAAAGUAAAAAUUUUGGCGAAUAAGUGGUGGGAAAGACUGGUGCCAGCCGCCGCGGUAACACCAGCGCCGCAAGUGGUGACCGCAUUUAUUGGGCCUAAAGCGUCCGUAGCCGGUCUAGUAAAUCCUUUGUGAAAUUGUUAGGCUCAACCUAACAGCGUGCUGAGGAGACUGCUAGACUUGAGACCGGGAGAGGUUAGGAGAAUGCCAGGGGGAGCGGUAAAAUGCUAUAAUCCCUGGUAGACUGCCUGUGGCGAAGGCGCCUAACUAGAACGGUUCUGACGGUGAGGGACGAAAGUCAGGGGAGCGAUCCGGAUUAGAUACCCUCGUAGUC
RNAcentral lists this ribosomal RNA (422 nucleotides) under uncultured archaeon. RNAcentral's name for it is "partial 16S ribosomal RNA". It matches the Rfam family "Archaeal small subunit ribosomal RNA", at positions 323 to 746 of the family's 1478-position model. The record is from RNAcentral.